Molecule: ribosomal RNA, 464 nt
Filed under: uncultured bacterium
Lineage: Bacteria
Description: partial 16S ribosomal RNA
Rfam family: Bacterial small subunit ribosomal RNA
Source: RNAcentral
GACGAACGCUGGCGGCGUGCUUAACACAUGCAAGUCGAACGGUAAGGCCCCAGCUUGCUGGGGUAUACGAGUGGCGAACGGGUGAGUAACACGUGGGUGAGCUGCGUCGCAGUUCGGGAUAAGCCUGGGAAACUGGGUAUAAUACCGGCUACGACCGCACCGAGGGGGGGUGGCGGCAAGUUUUUCGGUGUGGGAUGGGCCUGCGGCGUAUCAGCUUGUUGGUGGGGUAAUGGCCUACCAAGGCGGCGACGGGUAGCCGGCCUGAGAGGGUGGACGGCCACAUUGGGACUGAGACACGGCCCAGACUCCUACGGGAGGCAGCAGUGGGGAAUAUUGCCCAAUGGGCGGAAGCCUGAUGCAGCGGCGCCGCGUGGGGGAUGACGGCCUUCGGGUUGUAAACUCCUUUCACCAUCGACGAAGGUUUUCUGACGGUAGAUGGAGAAGAAGCACCGGCUAACUACGUG